AAACUUAUUACCUUAAUCAAAAUAAGAUUUUCUAUUAAAUAUAUACAUAUAUGGUCCUUAAUUCUCUCUUCUAUAAAAAUAGAAUGAAAUAGAUUGGAUGCUGUUAGACUAGCAGCUUAACACUACACAUUUUAUAAUUCUUUUUGUUAGUAUCAUGAUAAGCAAUAGUUUUUAAACUCAAUAUCAACUUGUUCUGUUUUAAUUUCAAAGUGAGAUUGAGAGACUUUCAGGUGAAAUAUCCAAUUAUUUGAAUGUCACCAAUUUCUGGUAUGAAGAGUCUGAACUUCUGAACCAAGAUAAAAUAACACCACGUGAACAAAGAAAACAUGCCAGGUGAGACCUAAAGCCUGUUCCAUUGUCCAUAUAACAUAACAUGUUGUUUCAGGCUUCUGUAAUUCAAUAGAUGUUGAUGAAGUACUUCU
This 422-nucleotide long non-coding RNA is filed under the name Anolis carolinensis (green anole). RNAcentral's name for it is "lncRNA (ENSACAG00000041296.1)". The record is from RNAcentral. Lineage: Eukaryota; Metazoa; Chordata; Lepidosauria; Squamata; Anolidae.